UCCUAUUUUAGACUGACAAAUUUAUUUCGUUCAGUAACUCUUUAGCUUUCACUUCAUUCUGUUUAUUCUCAUCGGAAGCGGCUGGACUUUUCCCGUGGAGCCGCCAUUUUGGGGCUCAACCUUCAAGGGGUGGAACCGAGGUGAAGAGGGGGUGAAUGCGGCAGGUAGAGAGGGGAAAACCGCGUCUUUUCUUCUCUAAUCUUGAAAUUGUGGCCUAAGUCAAUACGCGUUCCACCAUUUUAAACUGAUUUUCCAUUGUAUUUUCACGCACUAGUUCUUUUCAGUGUUUUAUUUUUCCGUGUGAAUCUCAUCAAACGUCAUGGGUGCUUCAGAAGAUGCCAAGCAAGAACCAGAACAGUUCAGGAAAUUGUUCAUCGGAGGGUUAGAUUACAGAACAGAUGACGAUGGCCUGAAAAGUUUCUUUGAACAAUGGGGAGACAUCGUCGAUGUUGUCGUAAUGAAAGAUCCAGUGACCAAGAAGUCCCGUGGCUUUGGUUUCAUCACUUACUCAAGAGCACAUAUGGUUGACGAUGCCAUGGCACACAGGCCACACAAAAUCGAUGGCCGAGAAGUAGAAAGCAAGAGAGCAGUUCCUAGAGAUGAAAUCGGAAACCCAGAAGCUAACGCAACUGUGACCAAAUUAUUCGUCUCCGGAUUGAAAGACUCAGAAGAAGAAGACUUAAGGGAAUAUUUCAGCCAGUUUGGAAACAUCAAAGGCAUCAAAAUUGUUGUAAAUAAAGACACAGGAGCCAAGAGAGGAUUUGCUUUCGUUGAAUUUGACGACUAUGAUGUUGUAGAUAAAAUUGUCUUGAGCAAGAAACACACAAUCAAAGGAAAAUUGGUUGACACAAAGAAAGCUGUAAACAAAGGUGACAUGCCCAUGGGUGGCGGCGGUGGCCGUGGCGGUAUGGGCGGACGAGGGCGAGGAGCCGGUCGAGGAUCCAGCCGUGGUGGUGGCGGUGGUGGAGCCUGGGGCGGCAACAGCUGGGGUGGUCGUGGUGCUAGCGGCGGCAACUCCUGGGGUGGAAAUGGUGGUGGUAGCAUGAAGAGCAAUUACGGUCCAUGGGAGAGCCAGCAAAGUGGCGGCUGGGGAGGCCAACAAAGCCAAGGUUGGGGUGCUGCACCUGCUGCAGGUGGAAACUUCGGUGGAAGUUCUGGUGGCUGGGGUUCCGGUAACGAUUACCAACAAGGAUAUGGUGGUGGCCCAGUCAGGAAUAGUUUCGGUGGUAACAGGAGUGCACCCUACGGAAGUGGUGGUGGCGGCUACGGAGGUGGCAGUUACGGCGGUGGCCGAGGUGGACGUUACUAAAGCAGAGCGUCAUUACUAAUGCAAAUGAAUGCAACGCAACACUAAAGAAGGUAUAAAACUUAUGAGGAUGCCCUCCAGACUGCAAUCGAUCUCAACACCCCUGGAUGGAGUGGAGACUUGCAACUUUUUCCAGUAAAUCCUUGUCAUUGCACAGCCACAAGAAUUCUUGGAGUGACACUUGUUUGCUGACAACCUUGCAGAGAUGUCUUCUCCUGCUAUGUAUUUCUAAUACCAUUUUCCUUCAGGCUUCAUCCUUAUCUCUCCUCAUGGUUCCUUUGUCGAAUCUUCAAGAUGAUUUGACUUUUCGUAAUGGUGGCGUAGUUUCAAAAGAUGAAAGCACAAAUCUGCCUGCAGUAUGACAAAAUAGCAAGCUCUCAAUUGGAUGCGUUCUGCGGGCGUUUCGAUGGCAGUAAGAUGGGUAACUUUUGCACGCGCAUUGGGAUUGGCGGCACGCGCACCACGCAGGCUCUUAAGUCUACCUGGAGAUCGCAAGCAGUAGAGGCAGCAAGCGCAUCGGGAAUAUUUACACAACAGUAAAUCCUAGCAUGGCGGCAUGAACUACUGCCACUGUCAGGUGACAAUCAAUCAGCCCGAAGACACAAGCAUUUUCGACACUGACAGAAAGACUGAUUUUCUUUGUUUAACAACGUAAAUAUGUUGAAUAAAUUAAUUUGCCU
Bemisia tabaci is the source of this 1986-nucleotide RNA transcript. It is a transcript of the gene named heterogeneous nuclear ribonucleoprotein A1, A2/B1 homolog, with no coding region annotated. Lineage: Eukaryota; Metazoa; Arthropoda; Insecta; Hemiptera; Aleyrodidae. The record is from RefSeq and is a predicted model, not a curated record.